UCCAUCUUCAAUCCUAUUUCUUUCUUCUUUCUUCUUUCUUCUUUCUUCUUUCUACUUAAUCUUCUGAUAGAUUUAUCCAAAAGAGAAAGAAAGAAAGAAAGAAAGAAAGAGAGAGAAAGUAUUAAGGCAAAGGCAAACAAUAAAAUGCCCGCAACGCCUCCCAAAUCAGCCCUCCAAGUCCACAGAAUCAAUAACACCAACAUGAUCUCUCACUGCCACAAGCAACCCCAAACCCCAACUACCGGCGCCACCCUCCACCGCCGUAUCACAACUUGCUGUCCGGCCUCCGCACCAGAAACCGUCGCAUGCCACCACACCCAUCCAGUGGGACCCAACCAGUGUUCCUCCGCCGUCGUUCAACACAUCGCCGCCCCGGUAUCCACCGUAUGGUCAGUGGUCCGCCGCUUCGAUAACCCUCAAGCCUAUAAACAUUUCCUGAAAAGUUGCCACGUCAUCGUAGGGAACGGAGACGUGGGAACCCUAAGAGAAGUCCACGUGGUAUCUGGGCUUCCCGCCGCCACCAGCACCGAACGGCUUGAGAUCCUCGACGAUGAGCGUCAUAUCAUCAGUUUCUCCGUCGUGGGCGGUGAUCAUCGUUUAGCAAAUUACAGAUCUGUGACGACUUUACACCCUUCAUCGAACGGCUCAGGUACGAUGGUCGUGGAAUCGUACGUUGUGGAUGUACCCUCGGGGAACACGAAAGAAGAUACCUGUAUGUUUGCGGAUACAAUCGUUCGCUGCAACUUGCAAUCGCUGGCUCAGAUCGCCGAGAACUUGACCAAUAGCAAUCAAUCAUCUUCAUAGCUAUGUACUUAAUUUAAUAGCUUCAUCUCUUCUCUCUCUCUCUCUCUCUCUCUCUCUCUCUCGAUUUGCUUUUGGUGGUUUUUUCCCCAAAUGUGGUUGCGAUCGACAUUGGUUGCGAUAACAUGAUCGGGUGAUGAUGGCUUUUGCUUCCAUACCUGCAGCCUUCGCAGGUUUUGAUGCUUCAAAAUGAUUGCCGGAGACGGUGACGAUGCCGACGAUCGUUGGUGGGUUCACCGGAGCUCUUUAUUUAUUUAUUUAUUUAAAGCAGAGCGUCAAUGCGUCACCAUCACUCCACCACCAUUUUCGUCUAUUAUGUUUUUUUUUUUUGGGUCUUGAUUUCUGUAUUUUCUUUCUUUAAUUUACAAUAAUGGCUGUACUGUAGACUAUAGACCACUGUGAAUUCUUCCUUGUUUAGUCUAUUACUAUAUUUUAUGGGAAAAUCCUCCAUUCUCUUCUGUGGAUUGGAAUUUUGGGUA
Macadamia integrifolia is the source of this 1280-nucleotide RNA transcript. It is a transcript of the gene named abscisic acid receptor PYL4, with no coding region annotated. The transcript is spliced from 2 exons. Lineage: Eukaryota; Viridiplantae; Streptophyta; Magnoliopsida; Proteales; Proteaceae. The record is from RefSeq and is a predicted model, not a curated record.